CAUUAUUGAAUAAACUUGAACAAGCUGUUUUUUUUGCUGGCUUCUUUGGAGGCAUGUGCACGCUUGUCAUCUUUAUCUUUCCAUCUUGUGCACUUAUUGUAGAUCUUGGAGGUUUGAAUUAUUUUCUAUAGAUUGAGGACUGCUGUGCUUUAUAAAAAGGUCAGCUUUGCCUUAUAUUUCCAGAUCUAUGUUUAUUACAAACCUAAGCUUAAUAUGUUAAGAAUGUUAAAAAAGAGUUGAUAAUAAUUUAUACAACUUUCAGCAACGGAUCUCUUGGCUCUCGCAUCGAUGAAGAACGCAGCGAAAUGCGAUAAGUAAUGUGAAUUGCAGAAUUCAGUGAAUCAUCGAAUCUUUGAACGCAUCUUGCGCUUCUUGGUAUUCUGAGAAGCAUGCCUGUUUGAGUGUCAUUAAAUUCUCAACCAUAUUGAAUUCUUUCGAUGUGGCUUGGUUAUUGGAAGCCUGCAGGUCUUUUUUAAUACAGGUCUGCUCUUCUAAAAUGCAUUAGUAGUAUAUAAUGAGCAGAAGCUACUUACAGAUGUGAUAAUUAUUUACAUCUCUAUAGUGGAUCAUGCUGCUACUCACAAAAGUUGAACAUGUAUUAUAUAUUUGACCUCAAAUCAGGUAGGAUUACCCGCUGAACUUAAGCAUAUCAAUAAGCGGAGGAAAAGAAACUAACAAGGAUUCCCUUAGUAACUGCGAGUGAAGUGGGAAAAGCUCAAAUUUGAAAUCUGGCAGUUCUUGACUGUCCGAGUUGUAAUCUAGAGAAG
This 767-nucleotide ribosomal RNA is filed under the name uncultured Inocybe. RNAcentral's name for it is "eukaryotic LSU rRNA". The stretch from base 254 to 407 matches the Rfam family "5.8S ribosomal RNA". The record is from RNAcentral. Lineage: Eukaryota; Fungi; Basidiomycota; Agaricomycetes; Agaricales; Cortinariaceae.